CGUGUUAAAUUAUAUUCUCCAUAUAUAUACAAUCCAUUGA
RNAcentral lists this small RNA (40 nucleotides) under Plasmodium falciparum 3D7. Its description in RNAcentral is "Pfa-npcR7485". Lineage: Eukaryota; Apicomplexa; Aconoidasida; Haemosporida; Plasmodiidae. The record is from RNAcentral.